This 726-nucleotide ribosomal RNA is filed under the name uncultured Burkholderiales bacterium. Its description in RNAcentral is "bacterial SSU rRNA". It matches the Rfam family "Bacterial small subunit ribosomal RNA", at positions 61 to 780 of the family's 1533-position model. The record is from RNAcentral. Lineage: Bacteria; Pseudomonadati; Pseudomonadota; Betaproteobacteria; Burkholderiales.
GUCGAGCGGCAGCGCGGGGGCAACCCUGGCGGCGAGCGGCGAACGGGUGAGUAAUACAUCGGAACGUAUCCCGUAGAGGGGGAUAGCCCGGCGAAAGCCGGAUUAAUACCGCAUAUGCUCUACGGAGGAAAGCGGGGGACUCGCAAGGGCCUCGCGCUAUGGGAGCGGCCGAUGGCCGAUUAGCUAGUUGGUGGGGUAAAGGCCUACCAAGGCGACGAUCGGUAGCUGGUCUGAGAGGAUGAUCAGCCACACUGGGACUGAGACACGGCCCAGACUCCUACGGGAGGCAGCAGUGGGGAAUUUUGGACAAUGGGGGAAACCCUGAUCCAGCCAUGCCGCGUGCGGGAAGAAGGCCUUCGGGUUGUAAACCGCUUUUAGUCGGGAAGAAAGGGUUCUCUUGAAUACGGAGGAUCUUUGACGGUACCGGCGGAAUAAGCACCGGCUAACUACGUGCCAGCAGCCGCGGUAAUACGUAGGGUGCGAGCGUUAAUCGGAAUUACUGGGCGUAAAGAGUGCGUAGGCGGUUGCUGAAGUCCGCUGUGAAAGCCCCGGGCUCAACCUGGGAAUGGCAGUGGAAACUAGGCGACUUGAAUCUGGCAGAGGGGGGUGGAAUGCCGCGUGUAGCAGUGAAAUGCGUAGAGAUGCGGCGGAACACCGAUGGCGAAGGCAGCCCCCUGGGCUGAGAUUGACGCUCAGGCACGAAAGCGUGGGGAGCAAACAGGAUUA